RNAcentral lists this long non-coding RNA (842 nucleotides) under Equus caballus (horse). Its description in RNAcentral is "lncRNA (ENSECAG00000047411.1)". The record is from RNAcentral. Lineage: Eukaryota; Metazoa; Chordata; Mammalia; Perissodactyla; Equidae.
CAAAAGAAAUCUUUGUAGUCCACCUCAGUGGAGGCAGAGGGAACUGACGCACUUUUGGUGAUCAAAUAUUUCUCACCCACCUUCCCUGUUAAAUGGAGAAUCUCUGGAGUCUGGCUGCCUCCUAGGGGUACCUGGGCUCCCUGCCCCACUCACGCUGCCGGCUUCACUGGUGAGCUCACCUAGCCGGGCCACUGGUGCUGGUUCUCUGUUCCUACACGGUGGCUUCCGCAGACACACGUCCUGGGCUUCUACGGCUGCCCAGAGAAUCUUAAAUCGAAACAAAAACCCCCAAGCUAAUUCCCGUCCUGGAAUCUGCUUGGUGCCUCAACUUCCUUGGAGCCAAGCUCCUCUUUCCAGCCCUGUAAGUGGCAGAGGCACAGGCUCUGGGUUAGACUCCUGGGAGAGGACGGAGAACCAGGCCCUCUGACUUAUUCCACCCAGUGACCUGCUCAUCGAGGUUUGGCCAGGCUUGUCCUAGUUUUAGCACUAGGAAGUCCCAAGUCCCUGGAACUCCCUUCCUUAGCCCCAGGCAAAGUGGGAUGAUUGACUCCUCCACUCACCACCAACCUGGGUCUAACUCCCAAGCCAUUUUCCAGUGCCUAGACUUAGAGUAUUAAGACUGGUACUGAAAAUCUGGAAGGACCCAGGAAUAUUAGCUCAAAAAGCCAGCUUAAGUCCUUUCAGAACCAGGCAGAGAUUAAACAAAUAUGUGAAAAUAAAAAAUUAGCUCUGGCCUUAAAAGUCAUUAUCUUAGGUGUAAGAAACACACAAAAAAUCAAUUAUGAAGACCACAUAUUAUAUGAUUCCCUUUACAUGAAGUGUCCAGAAUAGGCAAAUCUACG